AUGAUUUUGAAACCGAAAAACAAAUGCAAUGCUGUUCCUUUUUCCUGUUAUCUGCUUUGUUUUUGCCUUUCUACACGAGUCACUUUCUUCUGCUUUGUGUAGUGUGUACUUGACUGAUUUGUUGAAUUGGUCAAUUACUACUCCUUUUGUUCCAAUUUGCGUGACACUGUUUCCUUUUUAUUUAUUCUAUUCAAGAAGAAUGGCAUCAAUCUUUGGAAAUAUUUUAACUUAAAAAACAUUUGGUAUAUUUCGUUUCCUGGAAGUUGUGUUUUGGUGUUUAGUUGGUGAGUGAAAAAUAUUUUCAAGAAAAAAUAUAUACUCUCUGUCGAAAUCUAUGUUUGUUACUUUGGCUUGGCACGAAAUAAAGUGAAAUUUUUGAAUCAUGUGGUCUUAAACUUGCCAUGAGGAUUUUGGAAUUGGAAAACAUAGUAAAUAUUGAAAGAGACGCUCUUAUAUAGGGUCAUGUCCUCAGUAAGCUGUAACUGCUUCAUAUCAUGUCUAAUCACCUCUCUCCAGUAUUUCUUCGGCCUAACUCUACUCCUCUUGAAACCAUCCAAAGCUAGCCUC
Molecule: long non-coding RNA, 567 nt
Filed under: Capsicum annuum
Lineage: Eukaryota; Viridiplantae; Streptophyta; Magnoliopsida; Solanales; Solanaceae
Description: long non-coding RNA (CANN_LNC021771)
Source: RNAcentral